GUCAUCUUCUGCGUAAUUAUUUUAGAAUCUUUAACAGAAGACAAUCCUUUUCUAGUCCAAAAUUCCUUGUGAUUGGAUUGAUAGCCUUUUAGAUUUGCCAUGUGCACUGAAAUUGUUAUCAGUUGAAUUUUUUUUCUUGUGAACAGUAGCUGCUGAAUUCUUGGAAGUCAGUUUAAGAAUAUUAUUCACUUUUUUAUUUUUUGCGUUAGUUAGUAAGUGGUUGUUAAACAGGAAAGAUAAAGCAUGUUUGUAGCAAGAAUUUCAGCAAUUCCUCUAUUGUUAUGG
This 285-nucleotide long non-coding RNA is filed under the name Carica papaya (papaya). RNAcentral's name for it is "long non-coding RNA (CPAP_LNC002220)". Lineage: Eukaryota; Viridiplantae; Streptophyta; Magnoliopsida; Brassicales; Caricaceae. The record is from RNAcentral.